This is a long non-coding RNA of Ostrinia nubilalis (European corn borer), 383 nucleotides long. RefSeq lists it as uncharacterized. The record is from RefSeq and is a predicted model, not a curated record. Lineage: Eukaryota; Metazoa; Arthropoda; Insecta; Lepidoptera; Crambidae. The transcript has 3 exons.
AGCGGGCGGUGCGCGCGGCGCUCAUCGAUUUUUCCACAAAACAACUCAUUUGAAUCCAUCACUGACAUUACAAACACGUUUAAAACAAACCGCAGACGUUCCGUACGCGUUUUACACGGUGUCAGUGGAAAAUGUGAGUGUUUUCCCGCGAAAAUAAUGCAACUCUCCCCGCGCGAGGAAAACUACUAUGGCCGCCCUGAAUAAAGCCGAGAGCGGCUCAGAGGAGAUGCCGACGGCCACAGCGUCUGACCCCAGCGCGGAGCAGAAGGACCGCCUCAUCGCCGCCGUCAAGAAGGAGGUCAAGCAGUUGAUGGAAGAGGCGGUGACACGCAAGUUCGUGCAUGAGGACAGCGGCGGAGUGACGGCGCUCUGCGGAGCUGUGG